RNAcentral lists this ribosomal RNA (496 nucleotides) under uncultured bacterium. Its description in RNAcentral is "partial 16S ribosomal RNA". It matches the Rfam family "Bacterial small subunit ribosomal RNA", at positions 28 to 506 of the family's 1533-position model. The record is from RNAcentral.
GAUGAACGCUGGCGGCGUGCCUAAUACAUGCAAGUCGAGCGAACAGACGAGGAGCUUGCUCCUCUGACGUUAGCGGCGGACGGGUGAGUAACACGUGGAUAACCUACCUAUAAGACUGGGAUAACUUCGGGAAACCGGAGCUAAUACCGGAUAAUAUAUUGAACCGCAUGGUUCAAUAGUGAAAGACGGUUUUGCUGUCACUUAUAGAUGGAUCCGCGCCGCAUUAGCUAGUUGGUAAGGUAACGGCUUACCAAGGCAACGAUGCGUAGCCGACCUGAGAGGGUGAUCGGCCACACUGGAACUGAGACACGGUCCAGACUCCUACGGGAGGCAGCAGUAGGGACUCUUCCGCAAUGGGCGAAAGCCUGACGGAGCAACGCCGCGUGAGUGAUGAAGGUCUUCGGCUCGUAAAACUCUGUUAUUAGGGAAGAACAAAUGUGUAAGUAACUAUGCACGUCUUGACGGUACCUAAUCAGAAAGCCACGGCUAACUACGU